GGGUGCUGCCGAUUACCUAGGUUCUUCGCUUGUCAAGAGGCUCCUAGAAAAGGGACACAUUGUUCACACAACUAUGAGGAAUUUGGGAUUAUGAGUAUGCAAGUUAUAAUAUCGUUGCCUUUGAUAUUGCAAAUCACUUCUGUGAGAUGGCUAUCGAUUACCACAAAGAAACACCCCAUGUUAUGAACUAUAGUAAAUAUCCAGCUUAUUAAGAGAGGAAGAUGGCAUCCAUUUUCACAGCCAUGUCAUCAGUUGGCUCAUUCGUUGCACCUAAUGGUUUGACUGGUGUGAACAAGCUUGCUGAUUUGGUUGGAGUCACUCUUGGAC
Gossypium arboreum is the source of this 327-nucleotide long non-coding RNA. RefSeq lists it as uncharacterized. The record is from RefSeq and is a predicted model, not a curated record. NCBI's taxonomy places the organism in Eukaryota, Viridiplantae, Streptophyta, Magnoliopsida, Malvales, Malvaceae. The transcript has 4 exons.